AACGAACGCUGGCGGCGCGUCUUACACAUGCAGGUCGAACGGCAGGAAGGGGCUUGCCCCUUCUGAGAGUGGCGGACUGGUGAGUAACACGUGGGUGACAUACCUUUUAGUUGGGGAUAGCUAUUAGAAAUAGUAGGUAAUACCGAAUGUGACCGUACCUGUUAGAGGGGUACGAGGAAAGGAGCUAAGGCUUCGCUAAAAGAAUGGCUCGCGGCCCAUUAUGCUCGUUGGUGAGGUAACGGCCCACCAAGGCGAUGAUGGGUAUCCGGCCUGAGAGGGUGAACGGACACAUUGGGACUGAGAUACGGCCCAGACUUCUACGGGAGGCAGCAGUUAAGAAUAUUCCGCAAUGGACGAAAGUCUGACGGAGCGACGCCGCGUGGAUGAAGAAUGCCGAAAGGUUGUAAAAUCCUUUUAAGCCUGAUGAAUAAGCACAGUAGGGAAUGAUUGUGCGGUGACCGUAGGGCUUGAAUAAGCACCGGCUAAUUACGUG
Molecule: ribosomal RNA, 493 nt
Filed under: uncultured bacterium
Lineage: Bacteria
Description: partial 16S ribosomal RNA
Rfam family: Bacterial small subunit ribosomal RNA
Source: RNAcentral